Long non-coding RNA from Stegodyphus dumicola, 333 nucleotides. Lineage: Eukaryota; Metazoa; Arthropoda; Arachnida; Araneae; Eresidae. The record is from RefSeq and is a predicted model, not a curated record.
UCAAUAGAGUUUUUUGAAAUCAAAAGUGAAUAACCUUAUUAAGGUAUCUCUUCCUAACUCAGUAUCUCAGUGAUUUUUAUAGAAAUGUCUUUUAAGGAGCAAAUUUACAAGAAUGGUAUUGGCAACAACCCAAUGUCAUCGUCUUCAAUGUAAGUUUAGUCGCAUUCCGAUAGUGCUGAAAUAUGGCUCGAGGCCCAAAGAAGCAUUUAAAAAGGCUUAAUGCACCAAAAUCAUGGAUGUUGGAUAAACUUGGUGGAGUGUUCGUACUUGUUUUGUUCUAAAAGCCCUUUUAAUUGAUUGGAAAAAAGGAUUAAAAGAUUCUUAUUUAGUAGG